CCAAAAGCAGACCUACGUCAGGAUAACCCUUCUUUGAAACACUUUGGUAGUGCUCUUAGAUUGUAUUGUAAUCAAAAUAAGAAAUCAGAGCACAGGGAGUCAUCUCCUUAUUCUUUCUGUCAAGAAAAAAGAUGGUAGACUAACUGAUAUUUGUAUCAGUUAAUGAAAAAGCCCAAUGCAAAAAAGAUGCACGUUGGGUCUUUAAAGAAAUUCAAAUCGUUUUGAUAAUAAUAAGUUUGAUUUGUUUUACCGAGCAGGUCUACGGUUCGAGUCCGUAUAGCCCUACAUAUUCCUACAAAUAAUAAUAUUUAUUAUUUAAUAUGUCUCAUUACUAACUAAUAUAUUUUGAGUACUAAAUACUCUAUACUUGUAUUAAUAAAAAUAUCCAUUCUAUUAUUAUUAUAUUAAUUAGUAAUUAAUUAGCAGUAGAACGAAUUUCUAAAUUUCUAUUAGAAUAGUUUUAUAUUAGAUAAAAAGUUACUAAUAUUAGUAGUCUUCUAUACUAAUUUAAAU
RNAcentral lists this long non-coding RNA (513 nucleotides) under Lupinus angustifolius (narrow-leaved blue lupine). RNAcentral describes it as "long non-coding RNA (LANG_LNC000322)". Lineage: Eukaryota; Viridiplantae; Streptophyta; Magnoliopsida; Fabales; Fabaceae. The record is from RNAcentral.